AGGGCACUUAGGCAAGUCGUGUUUGAGUUGGGGCAGCGGGUGAUGGUGGCCGUGUGCGUCCCAGUUUGGAGCCCCAAAGCGUCUGGGUCUUGCCUGCGAAGGGUGCGGAGAGUGAGGGAAGGGCUGCCGGGGAUGUGGGGCUCGGAGGUGCCGUGUUUGGAUGCUCUGAGAGGACUGCCAGGGCUACUAUCUCCCCCAGCCCUCGUAGGUACUGUCAGCUUGAGGAUAGGGGAGCCUGGGUGGGUGUUGGGUGUGUACAACGUUCACGGAACAGCACACUGGGCGCCUGUGGAGGGCCGGGAUCCUUGGGCGGAGCCACAGUGGGCAGAAGCCGGUGGGACCUGCUCCGGAACCCCGAGGCCGCUGGGCACAAGAAAGCAGCUCCAGGCCCCGACCCAGGCGCUCUCGAAAGCUGCCUUCCCCAGUCGACCCCCCGCGCGCUCUGAAAUCCUUCACGCAGAUAACUUAAUUUCUCUGGUCUGCCAUGGUUCUCUCCCUCGCCUUCUCGUCUCGGCUCCUUAGCUGGUCACCUGCGCUAAGAUCCCAACUUGUCGCCGCAGAUAAAACUGCGGAGGCCAGCAGGAGAUGGGGUCUCCUUGGUGGCAUUCCGAGCAGAGGCUCUGCCCUUGAGAAAUAAACCGGGUGCCUCUCCCGGGUGGGUGGGCUCAUGAAGCUGCGACCGGAGGCAAACGAAGGACCGUGGAGUUUGGGACGAAUCCCCGAAGCCUUCCGGAUGUUCAUCCUGGCGUGAGAGCUGUUGAAACCUCGCGCCGAAGCGCACAGGAACUAAAAGUUGGGUUCCUCAGAGUGAACUAGCCGGAGAAGUCUGCGGGGCCCAGAGAAGCGACGCCCCGUGCGUUUUGGAGAACUCCGGGUGCCCUGCCGUUCUCCUGGGUUUUCAGGGAAAGGGAAAAGCCAGUGUGGUCUCUUGCGCGGAGACAGGCGGCGGUCCUGGAGAGGGCUCCUCCCAGCCACCUGGGUUCAGAACUGCCUGGCCAGCUCUCAAAGUCUCUCUGCUGAGGAGAUGCUACACUGUUGUUUAAACACCAAAACCAAGCUCAACGGCCCCGCCUCUUCCCAGGAAGAAAGUCUCCUUUCUUUCUUUUUUCCUUUUUUUUUCCUUACAUUGUCAGUUGCUAUAAUUUAUUUGUUUUACAGUUUCAGCCGCUAAAGAAGCAGUUUAGAUCAAGCCGAUUCCCGUGAAAGGCUUUUCUUGUGGUCUCUUGGCAGGAUUUCUCUUCGGAAGAAAAACUGCUGACAGAAUACACACGUUGCCAGACAAUCCUGAUUACAUUUUAAUUAGCUGGGGUGAAAUAAGCUGCAAAUUACUCAGUUAGGACUUAAUAACUGCUGUUUUUGCCAUCAAUGGCAAAGCCAUUCCUGGAGGUUUAACCCUACCCUGGUGAUGCCUGUCCGAUCUACCUAAAUUGCGGGGAUUGAGCUUUUUUAAGAUUUGAAAAGAAAGAAGCACACACUCCUUACAAAGCCUGACGCUUCCCUGUCCCUCCUUAUUUUUGCUUUUUACAUAACCAGGAGGGUGCAGAGGAAUCUGGCUGCAGCCAACUGAUGACUCUGCACGUGGUAUUUAUUAAGGGGCUGGAGGAAGCUUUGGAAAAGCCCCUUCUAUCAGGGUCACCCCACCCCACCCCUACCCCCUUGUGCAAAUAAACCCGAGCAGAAAGCUGUUUCUGGAGUCUGUGUUGGUUCGCAGCUAGUCCUGCCCAGUAUCAGGUCUCUUUUUUAGGCUGGAAGAAAGUUUGUUGCCAGCCUGGAGGCCAGCCGAGUAUGUGGACUUGCCGGUGUGCAAGCUGCCUGGGCUUGGCUUGGAAGAUCCCAACCUGUGUGCUCAUGGUGUAGACAGAUUUGGAGCUGCCGGGGCAGCAGGCCUGAAGAGGAGGCUGGGAUCUAAGCCUUCAAUUCUGCACUUUCCCAGAUACCUCCCUGCCCCCAUGCCCUGCUCCCCCCAUCAGGUGCAGCAUGAGGGUAAAGGCCGAUGGUGCACACCUGGUGCCUGCGGGUCUGUGGGCUGGGUCCAUGGCACCUGUCAAUCCCGUAGCUCUCAGCCUUGCCUGAACGCAAAGGGACUCCAUAGUGAUGCCUGGAAGUGGGAGUGGCAAUGAAGGAUACCAGAAUUACCUGGGCACUGUCCCUGACCUGAAGGAGCUUAGAAUUUCAUACUGAAAGGGAGAAGGAUUCUGAGCUGCAUCAUUUCACUACUGAGUGCUGCCCUCAUUCAGAAAAAGCAGUGCCAGCUAGCAUCUCCCAGGGUAUCAGUGUGCAGCUCUCGGAUGCUGCAUGCACGGCAUUUGGCAUGUGGCCAUUUCAGGUUCCCAAGUGUCACGCACACUUGUGACUCCAGUCCCGCCGGCAGAGGUGGUUGGGAAGGACUCCCUUACAUUAGCGAGUUCAGCUGAGCUCCGAGCUCUGGGUAAGGAGCUUGGAAGUGGACUUGGGAGCCAGGCAGAUCGGCUCUGUGUCAGGUUCUCCCACUUGGCAGGUGGGUAGCUUGGAAAGAUCGCUUCCAGUCUCUCAUGCGUUGAUGGGACACCUGCCCAGCAAGGUGAAGAUUCUAAAACAUGGUGGGGUAAGGAAAGUGAUGGUCAUAACGGGGCAGACAUUCACUGGAAGAUGACUAAGUACCACUGUUCUAGGUCUCUGACAAGUCUGUCUCAUUUCAUCCCCACAACCAUCAUACAGAGAGGGUGCUAUGGCUACCCUCUGCUAAUUGAUAAGGACACAAGAUGCUGAGAAGCUCAUAGACGUGGGGCUGGGCUCCCAGCAAAGACAGCUACCAGUUUUGGAGUUUAUUGUUAUAUUUAGGAUUUUAUUAGUUAGUGGGUUAAUUUAGUUCAAGACCUGAUUUUCAGGACCCAGUGCAAAAUGAAAACGUGUAGCCCAUUAUUUGAAGAACAAGAAGGGUUGUCGAGGACACUGAAACGUAAAACUUGUUCCUUGUUCUGUGACGCUUCUCUCUCGACUCGUUGUGGUGUUUGAUGUAUGCUCUUCAGGACUGUAGAGAAUAUUCUGAACCGGAAGUCAUUACCACGGAUUUCACUGUUACCUUGCUGGCUUAUAGAACCAGUGUCACACGUGAACAUCAGAGCAUUUUGUGCAUGUGUGGAAUCCCCAGCAGCACCCAGUUUGGACUUCCUGGCUCGUCCUUGGGGGCCCUAAUGGGGCCAGACUCAGGAAGGUGGGAAGGAGGAAGAGAGGACCCCCCCAAAGUGCCCAGUGUGGGGUGUGCCCAUUGGGUGCCCCACAAGGGGAUCUUACAAGAUGUGUGUAGACCAUCCUGGGUACCAAGGGCCUGGCGAGCACACACACAUGCUCAGCACGAAACUCAGCUGGUGCCCUGUUCAGCCAGCUGCUGGACCCACGCAUUGCGCUUGAGCUGGAUCCCCAGGAACCUGAGCCGGGAGUCUCCCCCUCUUACUGCUCAGCCCGUAGCAAUAGGCAAUCCCCCAAGUGUACUUCAGUCUCUUGGCUGCAUGCAGUUAGGUACCUGCCUUAGGGAUGGGCGAUAGGCUUGUUCCCAUGGAGUCUUGGACUCUAGCUGGCCACCCACCCAGCAGAGCAUGAUGCUCCCAGCAUGGGCCAGAGACAGCCAGCACUAAAUUCAGGGAUGCCUCAAGGCAUGCGUGCCCCACCGAGACCCUUCUUGUACUCACUCCCAGGCCCCUGUAGGGGGCAGAGUGUGACAACAAUGUGGGAGUGAGGAGGGAGUGGUAGGGAGGACUAGGGGGCCAGGGAGUGGUCAGCAGCGGAGAACCUUCCCUGGGGAGGGAAGGGGGGUGUGGGAGGCAGCGUGAUGCAAGGCACCACGCCUCCAGAACAUGCUCCAGUGCCCUAUUAGACUUCACAAAACGCAGAUGCAGAAGCCACUAAAAGUUUCCGUAUGGCAAUGUCGGUGCCUUAACCCCCAGGCCUUUGGCAGCGGUCCUGUGCCUGAAGCUCUGGUUUGGGUUCUGUAUGUCAGGGUUGCCAAACCCUUAGGAGGGCUUAGGCCCAUUUGUCGUGGCAGGUCUUCACCGCUGUCCUUUGUGUUCAAGGGGUACAGUGAUGAGCUGUGCUCGGGGGGGAGUCAGCUGCUGUGCCCUUAGGGCUCAGCCUCACUGGAAGACAAAUGAAGAGGCCGGAGAGGGGCAGUGUGCCUCCAGUAAGCUCUGCCUCUUUGUAGGCGAGUCUCCUUUAACUCGAGAGUGACCUCCUCUCCUGUCCUGGUUCUGGAGAACCACUCCAUUCAUGGUGGGGACCCCGCCCCCACCCUGGGGUCUGCUCAUCAUGGCAGCAGUGAUGGAGCUGAGUCUCAGAGCCAGAAAGAUAGAGACAUUCCACCAAAUACUGGCAGAUCUGCCGUGUGCUCUUCCUCGGCCUGAGUUUUCUCAAAGGAGGCUCUGUAGAUCAGGGCCGGAGGGAAAAUAGGAGCCCGAGGGUAAUAAAAUAGCAAAAGCGCGUCUAUUUCUCUGCCAGAUUUCAGGAUGCUCACUGGGAAAGCGGGUGGAAUCUUGGAAGAUGAGUAGCAGGUUGCUGGCAGCCUCUGCCCUGGGGCUCUAGAAUUUUAUUAGUGUGAAGAGAUUCUUGCUUAAUGGGACAUUAUUCACUCUCUAAACGACCACUGAUAGGCUCGUUUAGGUAGCUGAUUAGAGAUCAGAGGCUUUUUCUAGCAGUAAUUGGAAGCUGUUUGUUUUGGCAAAAGAGAGAACUAAGCUGGUGAUUAGCUCAUUCUGCUUGGAGGACCAGCCUCUCCUCUCAGAAAAAGCAAACAAACAAUUAGUGCAUCAAAAACUUUUAGCCAGCCACAGUUGAGCCCCAGGCUCACAGAUGUUUGGAGGAGCAAUUUUGUGGUAAAUGUACGAAGCCCUGGUGAGUCGGUUCGGCCUGCAGGGAGAUUUAAGUUGUAUGGCAGAGUGGGCAGGUGUGUCGAAAGUCAGUGGGAAGAAAGGCCAUCUUCAAGUUUGACCUUUAUAGUUCCCAGGGGGUCAUGGCAUCUCUGGCUGUGUUUCAAAGUAUUUCUGAAUUUGACCCAAAUGAAACAGGAGGCUCUUCACGGCAAAUCUUCUUUAAUAUAAUGUGUCUCCUUGUACAUGAUUUAGAAAUUCUGUAUUAUUGUGAGUAUUAGAACAUUUUAAAACCACAUUAGAAAAUACUGACUUGUUCAUUUCUUGGGGCACUGUAUCAUUAUAGGAGAAAUGUAUGUAUUUUUAUAUAUUGCGUAUAGUAUA
Molecule: long non-coding RNA, 5222 nt
Filed under: Sus scrofa (pig)
Lineage: Eukaryota; Metazoa; Chordata; Mammalia; Artiodactyla; Suidae
Description: lncRNA (ENSSSCG00000061166.1)
Source: RNAcentral